ACGCGGAGGCUUGGUGGCUCGUUGGGGCUAGACGACUCAGAGGCUCGAUAGGUUCUUGUAGUACAAGAGACACAUUGUGAUCCUGCAUUCAUUGGUCUAUGGAAAAUAGCUACUGGAUUCAUUCUAGAGUCAGAGGAGAUCUUUAUAGGAGCUGUGAGAGAAGUUGAGGAGGAAACUGGG
This is a long non-coding RNA of Humulus lupulus (European hop), 180 nucleotides long. RefSeq lists it as uncharacterized. NCBI's taxonomy places the organism in Eukaryota, Viridiplantae, Streptophyta, Magnoliopsida, Rosales, Cannabaceae. The record is from RefSeq and is a predicted model, not a curated record. The transcript is spliced from 3 exons.